Molecule: ribosomal RNA, 497 nt
Filed under: uncultured bacterium
Lineage: Bacteria
Description: partial 16S ribosomal RNA
Rfam family: Bacterial small subunit ribosomal RNA
Source: RNAcentral
AGUGAACGCUGGCGGUAUGCCUAACACAUGCAAGUCGAGCGACAGCACAGUAAGAUCUUGCUCUUACGGGUGGCGACUGGCGGACGGGUGAGACAUACAUCAGAUUCUACUUUUUCUUGGGUGAUAACGGGGGAAAACUGACGCUAAUGCCUAAUACGACCUACGGGUUGAAUCAGUAGUGCUUGGCAGUUUUCCCGUUUCUAUUAGCUGGUUUCGCGCCGCAUUAGCUAGUUGGUAAGGUAACGGCCUACCAAGGCAACGAUGCGUAGCUGACCUGAGAGGAUGAUCAGCCACACUGGAACUGAGACACGGUCCAGACUCCUACGGGAGGCAGCAGUGGGGAAUCUUCGACAAUGGGCGAAAGCCUGACCCAGCAACACCGCGUGGGUGAAGAAGGUCUUCGGAUUGUAAAGCUCUUUUGUUGGGAAAGAAAAAAUGCAGAAUAAUCCAUCGCCGUUCUGACGGUACCCAAAGAGUAAGCAACGGCUAACUUCGUG